RNAcentral lists this transfer RNA (71 nucleotides) under Planctomycetaceae bacterium. Its description in RNAcentral is "tRNA-Gln". It matches the Rfam family "tRNA". From Rfam's summary of the family: Transfer RNA (tRNA) molecules are approximately 80 nucleotides in length. Their secondary structure includes four short double-helical elements and three loops (D, anti-codon, and T loops). Lineage: Bacteria; Pseudomonadati; Planctomycetota; Planctomycetia; Planctomycetales; Planctomycetaceae. The record is from RNAcentral.
UGCCCGGUAGUGUAAUGGUAGCACCAGGGAUUUUGAUUCCCUUAGUCCUGGUUCAAAUCCAGGCCGGGUAA